Molecule: long non-coding RNA, 13586 nt
Filed under: Lactuca sativa (garden lettuce)
Lineage: Eukaryota; Viridiplantae; Streptophyta; Magnoliopsida; Asterales; Asteraceae
Description: long non-coding RNA (LSAT_LNC002556)
Source: RNAcentral
ACAGUUUAAAACUGUCACAAAACCACCAAAACGGUCAUAAAACGGGUCAACUGAAUAAAAGUCAAAAUUGGGUCAAUUAUUUAAAAAAAACGGUUUUCUAAUGCAUUUUCUAUAUAACUCGAUCCCAGCCAGGGGCUCUACCCCUUAGACCCCGCCAGGGGCUGCCGCCCCUUGGACCCCGCUCCCAAGGGCGCUACCCCCGGACCCCCAUUCAUUCAAGGACUUAGCCCUUAAAUAACAGUGUAUUUUGAUACUUGAUCAAACUUAAACAAGUGUGUACUCCACACAUUCCUUACUUGUUUAAUAUUUAUUAAUAUCACUUUUGGUUAACAGAGUAAUCACAUUACACUUAAAUAACAUUGAUAAUAACAAAUCACCAACGAUAUGUACGCUUAUGUGUGUGUUUAUGUUUUACUGUGUGUAAGUGUGUAACAGAAUUUGUUAUCAAAUGUAAUUAAGCUGUGAAAAUGUUGACAUUAACCGAGAAAUAUAAAUAUAUUGCUCUUUUGAUUUUUGGAAAUGUACUCAAUUAUAAAAUAUUUUUAAGUAUAUUAAUAGGAAGAGAUAGAAAUGGAAUGUUAUUAUAAACAAUGAAAAAUAUGUUUUUAUUUCUUGCAUUUAACACAAUGCGACAUCAUUACUGUUUUUUAUGCUACUUAAUUUUAUUAUCCGUAUAGCACACAAAUUGUAACCUAUAUAUAUANNNNNNNNNNNNNNNNNNNNNNNNNNNNNNNNNNNNNNNNNNNNNNNNNNNNNNNNNNNNNNNNNNNNNNNNNNNNNNNNNNNNNAUGUUUGAAAAGUAAUCAAUGGUAGAUAAAUAAUCAUUAAUAACAUAAAAAUAGUUGAUAUUAUAUAGUUGCAAAAAUAAUAAUAAGCUAUAUAAGAUAAUAAAUUACAAACAAGUUUCCAAUAAAAAGGCUUGAACAAGUUAAGCCAUUUGAGCAAAAGAAAAGAAAAACAUAUAAGUUGGUGAUUGAUCUUUGUAAUUUGUAUUUUUGUAAUUAUGUAUAUAUAUCCGGCCUAUCCGUAAGUAGAAAAUUGGGGCACUUCGUUUUACUUAUGAUGAAAAUUAUAUCUUUUCAGGUAAAACAUAUUUUUCUCAUAUUUAAAAUAAAAAAUUUAAGAAAAAUUGCAAUAAAAGUUAUAAUGAUUAUUUACGAUACAAUAAUACCUGAUGCCAGCCAAAUCAAGGUCCCAUGAAUCACAUGUUAUGUUGAUGGCUUCCUACCCCGUCUUUCAAAUCUACCAAUCUAUUUUAAAAACGAUUUUAUAUUUGGAUUUUCUAACAAUUAUUGCUGUUAUUUUCUAAAAAAGAUUAUUAGUAUUAUUAUUAAAUUUCACAGCUGUUAUUGUAUUUAAGACUAAAUUGACUAAUUAAAACUAAUGUGACAAAAGAAAUCAUUAAUAAUUUUAACUUUUAAUUUGAUCCAUCUGAUAUCUACAGUAUGUAGGAAAUUUUUGGGACCUAACAUGGAAAAUAACUUUCUUUUUUAAUAUUAUCUUCCUUUCACAAUAUUUUUGUCAAUUAUUAUAAGUAGGCCAUGAUUGUUUUAACAAAUAAGCAUAAUUAUUGUAAAUAGGUAAUGUGUAUCUUUCCAAAUGUAUAAAAAGAAUUCACUGAAAUGACCACUUUUAUUUAUUAUAUUUAACAUAUUAUCAUAUUUUUUUUAGAAAUAAAAUGACCAUACUGUUCAAAUUUUGUUUAAGUAUCGAAGUAAAUUAUUAGUUGCGAAAUUACAUUUUCUGACAAAAUCAUAAGUUUCGAAACAAUUUUUUUUUUUUUUGAAAAAAAUUGUUUCAAAAAAUUAUUUAGAGUCCAAAGUUAAUGAUUAUGGUUGAGUCUUCUUUUUGAACAGUGGUAUAAAAUUAAAAUCUAGCAAAAGCUAGAGAGUUACAAAAUGGAAAUUGUUAAUUUAGGCUUUUACAACCAUACUAUCCAACUAACACAAAGAUUUGGUUUCCUACCAAUAAUCCAACAAAAACGAUUGAAAAAUUAUAAAAUCUCAUAAGACCGUUUUCAAAGGCUUCUUAUGAUUAAACAACUGUUUAUUCCGAAAAGACCAAAUAGCCCAUAUAAAAGUAGCUCCUAGAGCAUCCAUGUAACAUCCGGUUUUGAGGUAUGUUUUAUUUUUAAUUUAAAAUUUGACUUUGGGAGUCGUCACGGCAUGGGGAGGAUAGCCACGACCUGGCGAUGCAUAUUGUGGUCGCGGAUCUCUUUUGGGUCGCCACGACGUUGCUGCCACUGACGUUUCAAACGCUAAUUUUUCUGGGUAUUGCAGCCUAUUUAAAGGAAUGAGGAUGUUAGGGUUUGCUCACCCUCAGCCUCCACCACCAUUUUUCACUCAGAAGAAACCCUAAUUUAUUUUCCUCUAUUGUUGAAGCUUUCUUGAGUGCUAUUGAGAGAUUUUGAAGGAAGAAGCAAGGAGUAAGCCAAAGAUCAGCAAGAAAGUUCAUAUCUCCCUUCCUAACUUGAUUUUGGACCCUUGUACGUGUUCAAGGCUCCACCUUUUGAUAAUAAGUUGCUAGAUCUUGGAUUUUGUCCUAUUUUCUUUAUACUCUUAUUAGUUGGGAUGGUGAUAUUUCAUAAAUGUUGCAACUUUAUGAAUGUCUAGAUCAUCUGGAGUAGUUCAUGGUUUGGAUCUCAAGUUUGGUUGGUUGUUUGAGCCAUGCAGAAGUUUUUGGCCAUAAACCCCAUUUUGACCAAAGUUGAACCCAAUACAUGCAUUGAACAUGCAUGUCUAAAAAGCAUUAAUCUUUAAGUUGGUUUUAGUGUUAUAAGCUCUUCUGGAGCAAAUGGGCUUGAGACAUAAGGGAUUCAGUGCUUCUUGGUUAAGCUCAUGUCCUGGUUGUGCUUUAUGGACCUAAGACUUGAGAUCUAGACCUCUUGGUGAGUCUCAAGGGAUAAAUUUACAAACUUUAUCCAUUUAGACAAUAAUAAUGAUCAGAUAUAGACUUUGGAACCUCUGGGAUUGGAGGAUUCAGCUUAACCCAUUAAGACACUUUGAACCACCCAAUGCUCAUGGCGUGACCAUGGCUGCCACGACGUGGCGACUGGGGAAAACACGUUUGUUUUGUCGUUUGAGGUCGCGAGUCAACUUUGACCGUUGACUUUGACUUUUGUCUUACGUUGUCUUUUGGUCAAACCCCUAGUUUUGGAAGGAAAGCUAAGGGUGCACUUUGUACGUCUGUAUAGGUGGUUUAUAGCAUAUGUAUUCGUAACAGUAGGAGCAAUAGCGGUUGAUCAUCAUUUGUUAGGUGAAUCUCUUCACUAUGCUCGUGGGUUGAAGGCACCAAUGCCGACCCACUGGAUUACGUUUGUAGGAUGAUAGUUGUCUUUGUGACACUUAUUAAUAUGCAUGUAUGUGCUUGUUGUCUUUGUGAUUCUUGUUGAUAUGAUUGUAUGCUUAGUUGUAGGGGUGAAAUAGACCUAGUACCGGUUGAAAGAUACCGAAUGGAAUGAAAUAGACCUAGUACCGGUUGAACGAUAUUGAAGGGGGGUGAAAUAGACCCAAUUUAGUGUUUAUUUGUUAUGUAUGUUUGGUGUGUGAUAUUUUGGGGAAACUCACCAAGUUUUGUGCUUACAGUUUAAUGUUUAUGUUUUCACGUAUUUCUGGCUCGAAAGGGAAGGGCCCGACACGAUCACACCAUAUCUACUAGCAUUCCGCAUUUUAUGACAUGAUUUGUACUCCGAUAACUAUUUUAUAUAUUAUCACAUUCUGAUGGAUUUUAGAAUAAAUAAAUGAUGUUUCUGUUAGUUUAAAAAUAAAUUUUUACAUAGUACUUUUUGGGACGUUACAAUCCACACACGGUCUAAUAGGCUUCUUAAAAUGAUAAUCAGCCAACCAACACGUCCAAUCCCCCAAAUUACAAAAGAAAGGAAGAUCUAACUCCCACCAAGUAGCGAAACAAUUCCAUAAAUCAAGCGCCAUUUCACACGUGAAGAAAAGAUGAUUAAUAGUCUCCAUAUCAUUACUACAAAUCGAACAAAGAAAAGACCCAAUAUCAAUACCUCUUCUAUCCACAUUGACUCAGGUAAGGAGCUUAUUCAACCCAUGUUUCCACAAAAAAAUGACUUUAAUGGGAACCACACCAUUCCGUCUAGUCGAAUUAACAUCCACAAUCAAAGUAUUAGCAUCAAUGAAAGACCGCAUAGAAGCAACUGUGAAUCCAUCAUUACCAUUCAAAUACCACAUCCACCGAUCCCUAUGAUCAGUCAAAGUCACCAUACCAAUGUAUCUACGCAAAUCCGAAUACUGCACGAUCUCCUCCCCACCCUUUGGUCUUCUUCUCAAAACCGAAAACCAAUCAAGAAUAUGAAUACGAUCAUAGACAUUACAAUUUUUUCCUUCACCCAAUGCAUAGACACGGGGGAUUUGCUGUCACAACUGGCAUUUUUGCUAGAAAAUCCUAUUCUCAUGAAAUCAUCAUCUAUUGUAAAGCUUGUACUCUAAGUGAAUAUCAUACCCUAUGUUCAAUCAACGUCAUCCAUUUGAAGCUGAACUCUUGAAUGAAGGUCAAAACCUAAUACAAUACAUCUCAUAUGUUCAACUAUGGGUUGAAAACCCUAGAAAUCCCGAUUCAAGUUCAUUAUGGACUAGGAUCCUCUUAUUGAGCCUAAUGGGCCAAUAAGUAUCCAAACCGACUAUUUCGGGCCUAGGACCCUUAAAUGGACUCUAAAUGGACCUACAUUCACAAAACUCAACAUUUUGUUCCAUUGGACUUAGAAUGAUUCAUUCUAACCCUAGUGGGCCUUAUUGGGCCAUAACUAAUCCAAUUAACCCUAGUAAGCCGUAAAUUCAUUCUUUUAUACCAUUUUGGGCUGUGAAUUACCCACAAGGGCCCAAUGGGCCGAAAACCAUUAUUGGGCUCUAGAAAUUUGAAUUAAACCUAGAAUGGACCCAAACUACCCAUUCUUAUCCCUUUUGGACCAAAAUCUCGGCCCAAUAUAUAUAAANAUGGGAUAAUGCAUAGAUUAAACACUUGACAACAUAUAAUUGUAUCACAUACAUCCAUGAAGAUUAUUACCCUCCAUGCAAUACUUUUCCUCUUCUCUUCAUAACACUCUUGGCCUAUCUCUCACUCUCCACCCUCUCCCUUAUUUCCAAUUCAAUCCAUAUUCUCUCAACUUUUCUCCAUCCUUCAUCUCCCAAAGAAAUCGUGGAUUAAGAGAGAUCUUCAAAGAAUCACUUCAAGUUUCAUAUUUGUGGUAAGAUCUUACAAACCCAAGUGAUAUACUUCAUCUUUAAACUUAUUCACUCCUCUUACACUCAUGUUUACGUGAAUCAUGCUCUUAGAACACCUUAGAGCCCGAAAAUCAUCUCAAAAACACAUCUAGGGCCGAGAUCUCUUCAUUUCUUCAUCAAAAACCGAAAUCUUCAAACAAGGUGAGUUCAUACCCCCUUGUUUUUGGUUUUUACUUGUUUUUGGGAGAGAAUACAAGUUGAUUUGUAUAGAUCUAUGUGUAUAUGCAUGACUAUGUGUGUUUUCCAUGAAUUAUUUGGUGAUUAUGUGUUGAUUACUUCAUUAAUCUAAAAAGAUGUUAAGAACUUGAAGUUUAUCACUUGGAUCUUCAUAAGAACCUUGAGAAAAGUAUGUUUUAUUACAUAUAUUACAUAUAAACUUGUAUAUCUGGGAAUUAUACACUUAAAAUAGCAAAAAUGAGUGUUGUGCUCAAAGAUCUAUAACUUAUACUCAAAAUCAGUUUUUGACAGGAAAGUUUUAGCCCAAUCUCGAACUGUUUUGACCCUCUUAAUGGAAAUAUUUUUCAAGACUGUUUUAGAUGGAUAAAUUUCAGAUUUAUACCUUUAAAAUGACUGCUCUCAUGCUUUCAUACGAUUUUCUACAAUUUUUUGCGAAUUUUACAAAACUGCCUAUCAUAUUUGAAAUAAUUUCGGACCAACCUGUGAAGGUGAGAAAUUUCACACUUGUUAAAAGCCAUAAAAAAUUUUGAGCAAAAUUUUGAACAAAUUAGACAAAAUUUCCAAACUUCCAGAAUUUACGGAUCCAAAUUUCGACUUACGAUGAUUUUUCUACGAAUUUUCCAACAACUAGGUCAGAAAAGCCCAAAACCGGAAAAAUGUGUGUUUUCACAAAAAUCAAGCCAAAAAUGAUAUUUUUGACAAAAAUGGGUUUAAAAUGUUAUUUUUACCACAAACUAGUCAUCAACACAAGUUUUUAACAAAAUAGAGACUAAAGUGUUAUUCUUACAAAAAUUGGGCCUUAAUUGUAAAUUUUUGGCUUAUUGGGCCAAGAACGUCAUUUUUACAAAACGUGGGCUUUUAUCCGAUUUUAGUGAAUACUUGAACCAAAACCAACGAUUAACUAACAAUCGAAUUCAUUUGAUCAUUUUCUAAGUUAUUGGGCCUUAGUGGCCCAUUUUUAUGUGUGAUAGGUCCUGUAUAGUAUUUAUAUGUUUAUUGGGCCUCAUUGACCCAUAUUUGGCCUCAUUGACCCAUGAACAUGUGCGACGGACCUUGGAUAUUUAUUUGGGCCUGUAAAUACCUUACAUGUGAAAUGGGCCUUAGUUGUCAUUUCAUAUAUAUAUAUAUAUAUAUAUAUAUAUAUAUNNNNNNNNNNNNNNNNNNNNNNNNNNNNNNNNNNNNNNNNNNNNNNNNNNNNNNNNNNNNNNNNNNNNNNNNNNNNNNNNNNNNNNNNNNNNNNNNNNNNNNNNNNNNNNNNNNNNNNNNNNNNNNNNNNNNNNNNNNNNNNNNNNNNNNNNNNNNNNNNNNNNNNNNNNNNNNNNNNNNNNNNNNNNNNNNNNNNNNNNNUGAGUUGUUCGCUACAGUUAGACUAACUCAGUCUAGGGUGACGAAAACCUUAUAAUCAAAACUCAAAACCGGCGUCCAACAACGCCAAGACAUGCGAAAUUGUCAUUAGUUAGUAUGGUUAUGACGACUUACUUAGAGGAAUUAACGUUAUGAAGUUUACGGAAGACCCUUCUCUUUUCUUUUGGCUUACUCAGAAACAUUCUCGUACUGGUACUCAACCUCGGGGGUUGGUAUGGCAGCUUUCUCUUUUACAGACAACAUCGGGUUGUCUGGGAACAUUCUCUUUACAUGCUCAUUACAUUCCCUCUACAUUUUUUUACCCCUUUUAGUCAAAUAAACAAAAACAUACAUGCAUUAAUACAAGAUCUGACACAAACAUACUAAACAGUUUGCAGAAAAUAUCGGAUUUUCUGGUGGUUUCAAAAUUAUACAAAUCGUUUUCACAAACAUGCUUAUGAAAUCACCAACAUUUUAUGUUGACCGUUUUCAAAAAUACUUGUAUUCUCAGGAAACCGUUAAAGCAGGAUGAACGAAACAAACUAAUGGAUACUGUGUUAUAUUUUGUUUCAUCAUAAUCUUACUAUUUUGGCAUGUAAUAUUCAAAUACAAUACUCGAUGUAAACAAUGAAUGUUGUUAUAUUACAUGUGUGAUGAUGAUGAUAUUAUGUUUCAUUUAUAUUCACUGUAAUGAUAUUUCAAGAUGAAGUCACGCACAAGCCCCCAGACGUUUCCGCCGUCUGGUUCGGGGGGGGGGGGGGUGACAGAUUGGUAUCAGAGCNGGGGGGGUGUGACAAUUGCUCUUUGAUCGAGUUCUCUCCACAUGAAGUAUCAUCCCAAAAAUAAGUGUGCAUCUCAUCCCCCAACCUACGAGUACAAGCUAACAACAUAUUCAUACCUUUUUGCUUUAAAUGCUUAACUGAAUUGAGAAAGCAAUCCAAGGACUACAACUAGAAUUCUGUAAACGAUCAGCACCAACACACCCAUCUAAACCAUAAAUCAUCUGAAAUACUUUCACCCACAAAUCAUCUGGUUUUGAUCGAAAACGCCAAACCCAUCUGAACAACAAAUAUCUAUUUAAUGCAAAACCACUACCAAUCCCAUACCACCCAAACUCUUACUUGCCAAACAGUUGUUCCAUUUAAUCCAAGUAUCUUAUGCUCCUCUAUAUCACCUCCUAUAAAAAAAACUUGUUACGUAACGAUUCCAAAUGUUUGUGCACAACAACUAAGAUUUUAUAGAGAGACAUAUACGAUUGGAGGCAGAUUUCCAAGCACCGCUUUAAUCAAUGAAAGUCGGCUACCAACAGACAAAGUACGAGCUUUCCAAUUAGAGAGUUUAUAAAUAAACUUAUCUACAACUCCUUUCCAAUUUUCACACAGACCCAUAUUACUCCCAACUGGAACACUAAGAUAAGAAAACGUCAAAGGAGAAACUAUACAGCCCAAAAGUGCAACCAUCUCAUUAACUACCACCUCAAACACUCCCACACCAAAAAUAUUACUUUUAUGGACAUUAAUUUUAAGGCCCGAGACUAAGAAAAAACAUCUUAGAAGACACACCAAAUUACUACCAUUUCUUUAAGACCUAUCACCCAAGAAAGUAACAUCAUCAACAUACAAAAGACGAGACAACACCACACUAUAAUGCCCCAGCACUGCUCAUUCGAACAAAACAAUAUGCUCAGCCUUAUAGAUAACAUCAUGAAGACCCUCCAUAGUUAGGAUAAAUAAAUAAAAAGAAGUGACAACGGGUCACCCUGUCUAAGACCCCAACAUAUCUCAAACUCAUCCGUAGGGGAACCAUUAACAAUAAUAGAAACCAUAGCCCAAUUUAUCCAUAACCAAAAUCCAAAAAGUCCCAUCGUAAGGAAUCAUAAGCUUUCUCAAAAUCAACUUUGAAGACAAUAAGACUUUAUUUAUGCUUACGAUACCAUUCCAUAACUUCAUUCAAAAUAAAUAGACCAUCAAGAAUAUUCCUUCCAAUAAUAAAAGCAGACUGCUCCCGACUAACACAACUCCCAAUUUGUUUUUAUACUUUUCAAAAUGGUUUGAAUAAAAGAUCCAUAUAUAUGGCCAUAUAUCUAUAUUUUGAUAUAAUAUUGUAAGUUGUUUUACAAAACUAGGCAAGUUUCGAAGUAUGGGAAUAUUUGUCGCUAUUUCAUAUGUUGUUUGCCUCUAUCCUAUAUCCUAGUGAUCAAAGGGGUGCUCCAGCCGAUAAAGCCAAGAAGCAACCUUAAGCAGUAUAUGAGAAAUGAUGAACUACAGGAUAAUUGUGAUUAUAAUCACCUAAGUUGUCAUCAAACCAAGAAGACUUGAUUUGAAAUAGCUGUUAAAUCAUGGAAAAGACAAGGAAAUAUCUUAAUAUGAAUGAUUAAGCAAUGAUAAGCUUCAUGCCAAGCCAACAUUCAAACCAUUUACCCGAUUGUAAUGAUUAAGCGCGAAUAGGAAUGUUGAUUCGAAUUACUUGUGCAGUAAAUGGCGGACCUAGAAUAUAAGAUCCCCAAUAUAUAAAAUUCCCUAAAUCCAUUAUUAUAAAGAUUCGGAAAAAGAUGUAUACUUAUUGGUUUAAUGGAAACUAGGAUAAAAGUAUUUUUGAGAUUAAUCUUUCACAUGAGCUGUCAUCAUCUAAUAAAGUAAAUAUUUAUCUUUGAACAAAGUGUAAGAGGUUCAUGGCAUAUGUAAGAUUCGAGCGUAUGAGAGGGAUGUUUCCCUCACUUUUAAUAGGUCAUAUUAUUCUUUUCCCCACUUCUCUUUCCCUCACCUAAAACCCAAAGAAUGAGUGGGAAGAGCUUCAUUCAUUAUUUUUUUAAAAAAAAUAAAAUUAAUUGAUUUUUAUGAUUUAUAAUUUUUAGAUUAAAAAUAACCAAAAAUUUUAAUUAAAAAGAAAAUGCAUUUCAUUAAUUAAAAUAAUAAUUACAAUAAACCUAAAAUUUAAAAAACAAGAAAAUUAAAAAAAAAAAACACAAACUAAAAAUCGAACAAACCAACAACGACUUACAGAAAAGAUUUUUCCGAGUCAUCAAACUCAUCAACAAGUUAACAUUAUUGUUGGGUUUGGGUUUGAGUUUGAGUUUGAGUUUGGGGUUGAUGUUGAUUCGACGAUUGUUGAUCUGAAAACAUAACAAAGUUUGCAAAUAUUUGCAGUGUAACAUUUAAAACUUGGAGCAGGUAAUAUUGUCCAACAUUUUGGUAUUGAAAUUAUAGUGGGGAUUGAAUGGAAGCAUCGAGUUGGGGGCGAUAAACUCCUUAUGGUGAUGAAUUGAUAACAAAAAUGUUUCAAGUAGGGAUGUUUAAACUCAAACCAUACUUUUUUUUCCUUCAAUCGGAAGUUGAGAUUUGAUUGUCGGGAUUUUUUUUUUUUUUUUUGAGAACAAAAUAAAGAGAAUAGAGAGUUUGUUUGAAUGUUGAUUGAAGAUAAAUAGUUGAGUAUUUAUAGGUGUUUAAAAAGGUAAAAAAACAAAAAAAAAAAAAAAAUUGGGUUUAAAUGCAUAUAUCCGUUGGUAAAAAAAUUAUUUAUUUAUUAUUUUUACCGUUAAUCAACGGCUAUUUCACAAAAAAAAAGAAAAAAAAAACUCUGGCCAAUGAUAGAGGGAGAGAGAACGCGGGGUAUCUUCCCCUCCCCCUUUCCCGCACAUCCGCCUCCUUCAGCGACAGUGUGGUGUUCCGUCAUGCGGGAAGGCUUCUGCUCCUUCUUCCCGCUAUGAUACCGUCCGGCCAAAAGGAAACUUAUAUCAUGUACAUAUUCACCUUCGUUGAGAGUAAUGAAAAACUAAAUCUUAAAGAGUUUUAAUGUCUCUUUCUCACAUUUACACUUGCAUGAUAGUCCCACAACUUAGACCAUAUGAAAUUCUUACCUAAGCUAAAAAAUUCUUGAUAUUAAUGGUUUUUAGUAACCUUUUGAACCCUAAUGCCAAAUGUUUAAAAUUUUAGAUUCAAAUCAAAGAAAAGGGGUUAAGUGGAAUGUUACAUACCUCGUAUUAUAAUCUUGAAAGGUCAUCAACAUCCUCAAGUUUGCAAAACACCUGCAUUAAACACUUUCAUAUUAAUUUUUAAAUUAGCAAAACACCUACAUUAAUUCAUUUCAUAUUAAUUUUAAAUUAAUCAUAGUUAAUAUAAUUAUAAAAUCCUUUAACCCCUAAUGUUGGGUUUUACACCAACAAAAGAACUAAAUAACGAGUUGAAAAACAAAGUUUUGAACAUCAUCUUAGUUUCGAACAUGUUCUCAAGCUUAAAACAUGUUUUUAAACUUCAAAAUUCAUCGGUAUCUAAAUGUAACAUGUUUUAAUUAUUAUAUAGUUUUCAUAUACUAAAACAACUAAGAAAAAACAUAAGAAAAAAAGUUUUGUAACUCUUCUACAAAUUUCAAAACUCAUUUUGUCAAAGGCGACCUUGAAAUAUUCGGUUGUGGAAAGCAUUCACUCAACAAAUGUAGGUCCAUUCAAUAAAAUCGACAAUUGACCUAAUUUCAAAAUAUGGUUGUCAUUUCUAUAUCUCCAUGAAAAACUAUCAAAUUGUUAAAAGAGUUUAUGCAAGAUAUUUGUUAACUAUUUAUACAAAAUUGUUCAAUCCUCCAAUAGAUAUUUUGAUGCAACACUUGAUAUAAAACUACAAGUUACGAAUAAAAAAAAGUACUAAUAACAAUUAACAAUUAAAAAAUAAAGAAUUGUCUUCUAACUAAAGUUCAACAGUUAAAUUUGGAGGGUAAAUCCUGUUCUGCCUACAAUGUUCUUAGCUGGCACCUAAUGCAGCUGAGCCGCCUAUAAAUUCCCCAUUUUUCACAAUCCAAGUGUCACAAUUCAAAUCAAUUGGAGAGGCGUCUUAAUAAACGCCCUUCAAAUUUCUCUCUUCUGACUUUCAAAAUCCCUAAAUCCCCGAUUUCGAUCUCUUUCUGUUUCAAUUUUUUGCGAAAAUGAGGGAGUGCAUCUCAGUUCACAUCGGACAGGCUGGUAUUCAGGUCGGAAACUCCUGUUGGGAGCUUUACUGUCUCGAACAUGGAAUCAAGGUAAUCAUUUGCUUAAUUUCUUAUAUUAAUUUCCGUUUUACAAUCUAGUUUGUUUGAUCUAGAGUUCAGAAACGCGAUUUGUGAUGCAUCUACUAGUUGAUCGGAUUUAUUUUCUUCGUUAAUCACUUUUGUUAGAACUUAGAAUGCGUACUCUGAUCUAUUCGAUGCUUUUUCAUAUACAUGAUUGCUUGUUCUUCCUCUGUUACUUGAUCAACAACUUACGAUUUCUAUGAAUCGCGUUUUAUAAUGCUGAUAUUAAAUCAAGGAUUGUUCUAAGAUUCAUGAUGAUCGCGUGAUUAGUUCAUGUUUUUCCAUGAAACUCUUAUUUUAGACUGAAUUUAUCGUCUUAUAUGCGUUAUUCUGAUGAUUUAUUGCCUGAAAUUAUUUCGAUUACUUCAUGCUAAUGCGAUUGGUUGUAAUUUGUAGUUGAAAAUUUUCAUUAAAUUGCUAUAUUUUUUUCAGCCUGAUGGCCAGAUGCCAAGUGACAAAACUGUCGGAGGAGGUGACGAUGCAUUCAACACCUUUUUCAGUGAAACAGGCGCCGGAAAACAUGUCCCCCGCGCCAUUUUUGUAGAUCUCGAACCCACCGUCAUCGACGAAGUCAGGACCGGAACAUACCGUCAACUUUUUCACCCGGAGCAACUCAUCAGCGGCAAAGAAGACGCUGCAAACAACUUCGCCCGCGGCCACUACACCAUCGGAAAAGAAAUCGUAGACUUGUGUUUAGAUCGCAUCCGAAAACUCGCCGACAAUUGCACCGGUCUUCAAGGCUUCCUGGUGUUCAACGCCGUCGGCGGCGGAACUGGCUCCGGUCUCGGCUCGCUUCUUCUCGAACGUCUCUCCGUUGACUAUGGUAAAAAGUCAAAGCUUGGGUUCACGGUGUAUCCGUCGCCACAAGUUUCCACCUCCGUCGUUGAGCCGUACAACAGCGUUCUCUCCACCCACUCUCUCCUCGAACACACCGACGUCGCCGUCCUCCUCGACAACGAAGCAAUCUACGACAUCUGCAGAAAAUCUCUCGACAUUGAACGCCCGACGUACACCAAUCUCAACCGGUUAAUUUCUCAGGUAAUCUCCUCCUUAACCGCUUCUCUCCGAUUCGACGGAGCUUUAAACGUCGACGUUACCGAAUUCCAAACAAAUCUCGUCCCAUACCCUCGAAUCCACUUCAUGCUCUCCUCCUACGCUCCCGUCAUCUCCGCCGAGAAAGCGUACCACGAACAAUUAUCUGUGGCGGAGAUAACAAACACGGCGUUUGAGCCGUCGUCGAUGAUGGCGAAGUGCGACCCUCGCCAUGGGAAAUACAUGGCGUGUUGUUUGAUGUACAGAGGUGAUGUUGUUCCGAAGGAUGUGAAUGCUGCGGUGGCGACGAUUAAAACGAAGCGGACGAUUCAGUUUGUGGACUGGUGUCCGACGGGGUUUAAGUGUGGGAUAAACUACCAGCCGCCGACGGUGGUUCCGGGAGGGGAUCUGGCGGAGGUGAAACGGGCGGUGUGUAUGAUUUCGAAUUCGACGAGUGUGGCGGAGGUGUUUUCGAGGAUUGAUCAUAAGUUUGAUCUUAUGUAUUCGAAGAGGGCGUUUGUUCAUUGGUAUGUUGGUGAAGGGAUGGAGGAAGGUGAGUUUUCGGAAGCGAGGGAGGAUUUGGCGGCGUUGGAGAAGGAUUAUGAGGAGGUUGGGGCGGAGUCCGGCGACGGUGAUGAGGAUGAGGGUGAGUAUUGAUAAUACAUGAUGAUGAUGAUGAUGAUGAUGAUGAUGAUGUGUUGUUAUGUAUGUCUUUUGAGUUUAUAUUGUUUAUGGAUUUGGAUUUGAUUUGUGGAG